UUGAACGCUGGCGGCAGGCCUAACACAUGCAAGUCGAGCGGAUGAAGGGAGCUUGCUCCUGGAUUCAGCGGCGGACGGGUGAGUAAUGCCUAGGAAUCUGCCUGGUAGUGGGGGAUAACGUCCGGAAACGGGCGCUAAUACCGCAUACGUCCUGAGGGAGAAAGUGGGGGAUCUUCGGACCUCACGCUAUCAGAUGAGCCUAGGUCGGAUUAGCUAGUUGGUGGGGUAAAGGCCUACCAAGGCGACGAUCCGUAACUGGUCUGAGAGGAUGAUCAGUCACACUAGAACUGAGACACGGUCCAGACUCCUACGGGAGGCAGCAGUGGGGAAUAUUGGACAAUGGGCGAAAGCCUGAUCCAGCCAUGCCGCGUGUGUGAAGAAGGUCUUCGGAUUGUAAAGCACAUUAAGUUGGGAGGAAGGGCAGUAAGUUAAUACCUUGCUGUUUUGACGUUACCAACAGAAUAAGCACCGGCUAACUUCGUG
Molecule: ribosomal RNA, 483 nt
Filed under: uncultured bacterium
Lineage: Bacteria
Description: partial 16S ribosomal RNA
Rfam family: Bacterial small subunit ribosomal RNA
Source: RNAcentral